RNAcentral lists this ribosomal RNA (497 nucleotides) under uncultured bacterium. RNAcentral describes it as "partial 16S ribosomal RNA". It matches the Rfam family "Bacterial small subunit ribosomal RNA", at positions 28 to 507 of the family's 1533-position model. The record is from RNAcentral.
GAUGAACGCUGGCGGCGUGCCUAAUACAUGCAAGUCGAGCGAACGGACGAGAAGCUUGCUUCUCUGAUGUUAGCGGCGGACGGGUGAGUAACACGUGGAUAACCUACCUAUAAGACUGGGAUAACUUCGGGAAACCGGAGCUAAUACCGGAUAAUAUUUUGAACCGCAUGGUUCAAAAGUGAAAGACGGUCUUGCUGUCACUUAUCGAUGGAUCCGCGCUGCAUUAGCUAGUUGGUAAGGUAACGGCUUACCAAGGCAACGAUGCAUAGCCGACCUGAGAGGGUGAUAGGCCACACUGGAACUGAGACACGGUCAAGACUCCUACGGGAGGCAGCAGUAGGGAAUCUUCCGCAAUGGGCGAAAGCCUGACGGAGCAACGCCGCGUGAGUGAUGAAGGUCUUCGGAUCGUAAAACUCUGUUAUUAGGGAAGAACAUAUGUGUAAGUAACUGUGCACAGCUUGACGGUACCUAAUCAGAAAGCCACGGCUAACUACGUG